UUAGUGGAAGCGUCUGGAAAGGCGCGCGAUACAGGGUGACAGCCCCGUACACAAAAGCGCAUGUGCUGUGAGCUCGAUGAGUAGGGCGGGACACGUGGUAUCCUGUCUGAAUAUGGGGGGACCAUCCUCCAAGGCUAAAUACUCCUGACUGACCGAUAGUGAACCAGUACCGUGAGGGAAAGGCGAAAAGAACCCCGGCGAGGGGAGUGAAAAAGAACCUGAAACCGUGUACGUACAAGCAGUGGGAGCACAGGUUUACCUGUGUGACUGCGUACCUUUUGUAUAAUGGGUCAGCGACUUAUAUUCUGUAGCAAGGUUAACCGWAUAGGGGAGCCGGAGGGAAACCGAGUCUUAAYYGGGCGUUAAGUUGCAGGGUAUAGACCCGAAACCCGGUGAUCUAGCCAUGGGCAGGUUGAAGGUUGGGUAACACUAACUGGAGGACCGAACCGACUAAUGUUGAAAAAUUAGCGGAUGACCUGUGGCUGGGGGUGAAAGGCCAAUCAAACCGGGAGAUAGCUGGUUCUCCCCGAAAGCUAUUUAGGUAGCGCCUCGUGAAUUCAUCUCCGGGGGUAGAGCACUGUUUCGGCUAGG
This 591-nucleotide ribosomal RNA is filed under the name Salmonella enterica subsp. enterica serovar Infantis. RNAcentral's name for it is "partial 23S ribosomal RNA". The record is from RNAcentral. Lineage: Bacteria; Pseudomonadati; Pseudomonadota; Gammaproteobacteria; Enterobacterales; Enterobacteriaceae.